RNAcentral lists this transfer RNA (74 nucleotides) under Mesocricetus auratus (golden hamster). It matches the Rfam family "tRNA". Rfam says of the family: Transfer RNA (tRNA) molecules are approximately 80 nucleotides in length. Lineage: Eukaryota; Metazoa; Chordata; Mammalia; Rodentia; Cricetidae. The record is from Rfam by way of RNAcentral.
UGGGGUGUAGCUCAGUUGGUAGAGGGCUUGCCUAGCAUGCACAAGGCUCCUGGGUUCAACUCUUAGCACCACAU